UACGAAGGGGGCUAGCGUUGUUCGGAAUUACUGGGCGUAAAGCGCGUGUAGGCGGGUCUUUAAGUCAGGGGUGAAAUGCCAAGGCUCAACCUUGGAACUGCCUUUGAUACUGGAGAUCUUGAGUCCGGGAGAGGUGAGUGGAACUGCGAGUGUAGAGGUGAAAUUCGUAGAUAUUCGCAAGAACACCAGUGGCGAAGGCGGCUCACUGGCCCGGAACUGACGCUGAGACGCGAAAGCGUGGGGAGCAAACAGG
Molecule: ribosomal RNA, 253 nt
Filed under: uncultured bacterium
Lineage: Bacteria
Also listed under: 1 other name
Description: partial 16S ribosomal RNA
Rfam family: Bacterial small subunit ribosomal RNA
Source: RNAcentral